Molecule: ribosomal RNA, 1472 nt
Filed under: Nematocarcinus parvus
Lineage: Eukaryota; Metazoa; Arthropoda; Malacostraca; Decapoda; Nematocarcinidae
Description: SSU rRNA
Rfam family: Eukaryotic small subunit ribosomal RNA
Source: RNAcentral
GCCUGAGAAACGGCUACCACAUCCAAGGAAGGCAGCAGGCACGCAAAUUACCCAAUCUCAGCUCUGGGAGGUAGUGACGAAAAAUAACAAUGCGGGACUCUUCCGAGUCUACGUAAUUGGAAUGAGCACACUUUAAAUCCUUUAGCAACAACCAAUUGGAGGGCAAGUCUGGUGCCAGCAGCCGCGGUAAUUCCAGCUCCAAUAGCGUAUAUUAAAGUUGUUGCGUUUAAAAAGCUCGUAGUUCGAGUUCAGUUCCGGACUGGCCGGGGAGGUCACCGCCCGGUGCUUCCCCGUCAGGCUCCGAACAGCUUUCAUGACUGAAAGCCAAGCCGGUUUCGCCGGGGUGCUCUUCACCGAGUGUCCCGCGCGGCCGGCCAGUUUACCUUGAAUAAAUCAGAGUGCUCAAAGCAGGCUACUCUUAAAAAUAAAGCCCGAAUGUUACCUGCAUGGAAUGAUGGAAGAUGAUCUCGGUUCCAUUUUGUCGGUUCUGGGAAUCCGAGUUAAUGAUAAACAGGGACUGUCGGGGGCAUCCGUACUACGACGCGAGAGGUGAAAUUCAGUGACCGUCGUAGGACGAACAACAGCGAAAGCAUUUGCCAAGAAUGUCUUCGUUGAUCAAGAACGAAAGUUAGAGGAUCGAAGGCGAUCAGAUACCGCCCUAGUUCUAACCCUAAACGAUGCUGACUAGCAAUCCGCCGUCGUUAUUCCCAUGACGUGGCGGGACGCCCCCGGGAAACCUCAAGUCUUUGAGUUCCGGGGGUAGUAUGGUUGCAAAACUGAAACUUAAAGGAAUUGACGGAAGGGCACCACCAGGAGUGGAGCCUGCGGCUUAAUUUGACUCAACACGGGRAACCUCACCAGGCCCGGACACCAGAAGGAUUGACAGAUUAAGAGCUCUUUCUCGAUUUGGUGGGUGGUGGUGCAUGGCCGUUCUUAGUUGGUGGAGUGAUUUGUCUGGUUAAUUCCGGUAACGAACGAGACUCUGGCCUACUAAAUAGUCGACGUGGGUUUUGGUGCAUGGGCCCCGUUCGACAAUGUCUUCUUAGAGGGAUGAGCAGCGAGUAUAGCUGCAGGAGAUUGAGCAAUAACAGGUCUGUGAUGCCCUUAGAUGUCCUGGGCCGCACGCGCGCUACACUGAAUGGGUUAGCGGGUUCUCCUUCUCCGAGAGGAGCGGGAAAUCGCGUGAAAACCAUUCGUGAUAGGGAUUGGGGCUUGCAAUUGUUUCCCAUGAACGAGGAAUUCCCAGUAAGCGCAAGUCAUCAGCUUGCGUUGAUUAAGUCCCUGCCCUUUGUACACACCGCCCGUCGCUACUACCGAUUGAAUGAUUUAGUGAGGCCUUCGGACUGGCGGUCUUGGACUGGGCUCCGCUCGCUACUACUCCAGCAAUGGGGGGCGGCGGACUCGCCAUGACGAGCCGGAAAGAUGUCCAAACUUGAUCAUUUAGAGGAAGUAAAAGUCGUAACAAGGUUUCC